GCACGGGCCGUCCUCCCCAACAAUAUCCUGGUGCUGAGUGAUGACACACGCAACUCCAGCAUCAGUGAUUUUG
RNAcentral lists this microRNA precursor (73 nucleotides) under Sus scrofa (pig). Its description in RNAcentral is "miRNA (ENSSSCG00005021179.1)". The stretch from base 14 to 73 matches the Rfam family "mir-338 microRNA precursor family", at positions 1 to 62 of the family's 69-position model. The record is from RNAcentral. Lineage: Eukaryota; Metazoa; Chordata; Mammalia; Artiodactyla; Suidae.